CCUACGGGUGGCAGCAGUGGGGAAUAUUGGACAAUGGGGGGAACCCUGAUCCAGCCAUGCCGCGUGUGUGAAGAAGGCCCUCGGGUGGUAAAGCACUUUCAGUGAGGAAGAACGCCUGUUGGUUAAUACCCAUCAGGAAAGACAUCACUCACAGAAGAAGCACCGGCUAACUCCGUGCCAGCAGCCGCGUUAAUACGGAGGGUGCGAGCGUUAAUCGGAAUUACUGGGCGUAAAGCGCGCGUAGGUGGCUUGAUAAGCCGGUUGUGAAAGCCCCGGGCUCAACCUGGGAACGGCAUCCGGAACUGUCAAGCUAGAGUGCAGGAGAGGAAGGUAGAAUUCCCGGUGUAGCGGUGAAAUGCGUAGAGAUCGGGAGGAAUACCAGUGGCGAAGGCGGCCUUCUGGACUGACACUGACACUGAGGUGCGAAAGCGUGGGUAGCAAACAGGAUUAGAUACCCUUGUAGUC
This 465-nucleotide ribosomal RNA is filed under the name Vreelandella stevensii. Its description in RNAcentral is "partial 16S ribosomal RNA". It matches the Rfam family "Bacterial small subunit ribosomal RNA", at positions 338 to 795 of the family's 1533-position model. Lineage: Bacteria; Pseudomonadati; Pseudomonadota; Gammaproteobacteria; Oceanospirillales; Halomonadaceae. The record is from RNAcentral.